This 708-nucleotide ribosomal RNA is filed under the name Escherichia coli. RNAcentral's name for it is "bacterial SSU rRNA". It matches the Rfam family "Bacterial small subunit ribosomal RNA", at positions 824 to 1532 of the family's 1533-position model. Lineage: Bacteria; Pseudomonadati; Pseudomonadota; Gammaproteobacteria; Enterobacterales; Enterobacteriaceae. The record is from RNAcentral.
UUGUGCCCUUGAGGCGUGGCUUCCGGAGCUAACGCGUUAAGUCGACCGCCUGGGGAGUACGGCCGCAAGGUUAAAACUCAAAUGAAUUGACGGGGGCCCGCACAAGCGGUGGAGCAUGUGGUUUAAUUCGAUGCAACGCGAAGAACCUUACCUGGUCUUGACAUCCACAGAACUUUCCAGAGAUGGAUUGGUGCCUUCGGGAACUGUGAGACAGGUGCUGCAUGGCUGUCGUCAGCUCGUGUUGUGAAAUGUUGGGUUAAGUCCCGCAACGAGCGCAACCCUUAUCCUUUGUUGCCAGCGGUCCGGCCGGGAACUCAAAGGAGACUGCCAGUGAUAAACUGGAGGAAGGUGGGGAUGACGUCAAGUCAUCAUGGCCCUUACGACCAGGGCUACACACGUGCUACAAUGGCGCAUACAAAGAGAAGCGACCUCGCGAGAGCAAGCGGACCUCAUAAAGUGCGUCGUAGUCCGGAUUGGAGUCUGCAACUCGACUCCAUGAAGUCGGAAUCGCUAGUAAUCGUGGAUCAGAAUGCCACGGUGAAUACGUUCCCGGGCCUUGUACACACCGCCCGUCACACCAUGGGAGUGGGUUGCAAAAGAAGUAGGUAGCUUAACCUUCGGGAGGGCGCUUACCACUUUGUGAUUCAUGACUGGGGUGAAGUCGUAACAAGGUAACCGUAGGGGAACCUGCGGUUGGAUCACCUCCUU